Molecule: non-coding RNA, 231 nt
Filed under: Clostridium neonatale
Lineage: Bacteria; Bacillati; Bacillota; Clostridia; Eubacteriales; Clostridiaceae
Description: T-box
Rfam family: T-box leader
About the family: Uncharged tRNA acts as the effector for transcription antitermination of genes in the T-box leader family. T-boxes are found upstream of many aminoacyl-tRNA synthetase genes and some amino acid biosynthetic genes usually in Gram-positive bacteria. The anticodon of a specific tRNA base pairs to a specifier sequence within the T-box motif, and the NCCA acceptor tail of the tRNA base pairs to a conserved bulge in the T-box antiterminator hairpin.
Source: RNAcentral
UUAAAUCCUAUGAUAAGGAGUAGUAGUUAAAUCUAGUAUCGAUAAAGAGAGUUAAGAAAUGGUGGAAUCUUAGCACGAAUGAUUUUAUGAAUGGACCUUUGAGGAAUAUUGGGAAAGCUUUUGUGAGUAUCCAUUUAUGGUGUCUGCACCUUACAGCAGUAUUUAAAGAGGUAUCAUAUUUGAAGUGUGAUACAAUUUAGGUGGUACCGCGGAUAUAUGUCCGUCCUAUAU